Molecule: ribosomal RNA, 323 nt
Filed under: uncultured eukaryote
Lineage: Eukaryota
Description: partial 18S ribosomal RNA
Rfam family: Eukaryotic small subunit ribosomal RNA
Source: RNAcentral
CCCUUAGAUGUUCUGGGCCGCACGCGCGCUACACUGAUUCAUGCAACAAGUUUUGUCCUUGGCUGAUAGGCCUGGGUAAUCUUUGAACGUGAAUCGUGAUGGGGAUAGAUGAUUGCAAUUAUUCAUCUUCAACGAGGAAUUCCUAGUAAACGCAAGUCAUCAGCUUGCAUUGAUUACGUCCCUGCCCUUUGUACACACCGCCCGUCGCACCUACCGAUUGAAUGGUCCGGUGAAAUCUCCGGACUGGCGUGAGUCGGAGCAAUCUGACAAACACCGGAAAGUUGAUUAAACCUUACCAUUUAGAGGAAGGUGAAGUCGUANCA